Molecule: long non-coding RNA, 11269 nt
Organism: Pseudopipra pipra
Lineage: Eukaryota; Metazoa; Chordata; Aves; Passeriformes; Pipridae
Exons: 4
Source: RefSeq, a predicted model, not a curated record
CAGAUGGCAUUAGAGGUGCUCCCUCAGUCCACCAUGCACCUGAAGAAAGGGAGUGUUCAUUGUACAGCUGUUCCUGUAGAGGCCACAGUCUGACCCUUGUCCUGGUGCUCAGGGACCUUACCAGGCUGGUGCAGGGCUCGGUAGUGGCAGAUAUGGAUGUCCCCAGAGUGUGCCACGCUGGCAAAGUAGGCACAGCCCUGAGGGAUCGCCCUUUUCAGUUACUGUGGGCUUCUUGCUCUUUUCUGUUCUGUGCUCAUCACUUCCAGUGGUGUCUGGGAGUGAAACAUAGCUUGCUGUGUGACUGACAGCCCUUCAAGCUGCUCAGCAAACCUUGGGCCUUAUUUUGAAAGGCCUCUGAAAGAAAAAGAAUUGUGUACUCUCUGAAUGCAGGGCUGCUGAACCACUGCCAACCCCAGGCUGCUCCAUUCAAAGGGCUGAGUGAAUAAAUGAGAAUAACAUCCUUGGGGACCUCAGGGAUCGGUUUACUCUGAAAAUCCUCAGCCUUACAAAGGGUCAGAGUCACAAGGUUCAGAAAUCCUUGUACAAGGCAGGACAGACAUCACUGUCUUAUGAUCCAGUUCCUGUGUCAACCAUUAGAAGCUUCGAAGGGCACAUUUAACUUCUCUGUACCUCAACUUCAUCUACGAAGUGCAGAAACAGAAUCACUAGUUUAAUCCUACCUACUGUGCAAAAGAGGCACAAGUAAACUGUAGAAAUCUUAUUUUGGCAGAUAAAUUAAUGGAGUAAGAAAUUCGUUUGUUACAGAGCACAUCAACAAAGAAGGUAUUUGAUGGUUUAUUUUUAAACAAAAGCAGGUAGUUCAUGAAACUCAAGUUGGGUUUUCUAAUAGGACUGAGUGCCUAACAGAGGAUUUGGAGUCCCUCUGGAUGCUCUGAAGUCUAACAUGGAUCAAGGUCGUGCUGCUGCAUACCCAGGGUGUGGGCAAUAAUAGGAUUUCCUUUUAACCUGCCACCUGUUUUCCCACACAAGUGGGAGCUUUGCUAUCUUUGAGAUCUCUAUCACCUCUGUCAAAUUUAGCUGAAGUAGGUCAAAGGGUUCAGAAGUUACUCAUGUUGAUAUAAGAUUCAUUUCCUUAGGAAAUCAGGCUGAGAAAGCAUUUUGGUUUAGAGUACAUUCAAGGCUGUAGCAUGCCAUAAUUCGCUGUAGCUGUGAGCAUCAUUGUAUAAAUGAAUACACAUGCACACACAUUUCCUCAUGCCUAGCAGAAGCAAUAAGCAGAAUCAAUCAUGUAUUUGUAAUUGUGUUUAUUUUUCACAAAUAUCUUUUUAGAAAGGAUUCUCUUAAACCAAACAUUUGAGAAAUGGCCCAAACUGGGAUUUAUCUCAAUGAUGUGUGUGUGCGAUUAUAUGGUGGACAUUUUUCUUUACAGGAGAAAAAACUCAACUGGCACAUGGAGUUCAUUAAAAUUGAACUAAUGGUUUCAAUCAUGUUUCUAAUAGUGUAGAAUAGGUAGUCAGCAAUGUGGACUGUGAAUAAGCCUGUGUGAUACCUACUGAAAAAUAUGUGCUUUUGUUUUCCCUCCCAAGAUAGGCAAACUGUUUGUUGCUGAAAUGCUUUAUUUUUACAAAUGUGAAUAAGGAGAAACAUGAAUGAAGAAAACUAUGAAUGAGUACAAUGAGUAAAUAUGGUUAGUGCAUACAAAGCCUUGCUAUAGAUGGAUUGAGCUAAGUAGGGACAAAGAGGCCUGUAUCUGCCAUAGGGUGGACGAUUGAUGUUUCUCUUCAAUGCAGUCAUAGGGAAGGACAGCGUAAGAACAAUACAGGUCAGAAUCUCUUUUAUAAAGCGCCAACUUGUUCUAAGCCUCAGGCAGACAAAAAGCAGAGUGGUUCAGCUUAACUUACUAAUACAGUCGGUGCCAACAUUUUCUUUCUUUAAAACUCCUUGUUUUCCUAAUUCCUACAAUCACUUUUUAAAAAGUAUACAUCAGACAGUUUUUGAUAUUUCAGUUUUCUUCGGUGCUGCAGGGUUUUUGUUAAUGUGGUUUUUGUUAAUGGCUGCCCCACAUACGGUCCCCUUAGGCUUUGUAGGUUUUCUUCUUCAAAACCUUUGCAAGUUAUGCUCUCUUUGUUUUGUUUUCCCAGUGUUACCCAGAAGCAAAACUUUGGAGUUUCAUUCCAAAUAAUGUGCUCAGGGCGAGAGCAAUGUUUUACAUCAGGGGCUGUGGAUUUGUCUUCAGCCUUCAGAGGGCAGCCCAAGGCAGCAGACAGAGUACUGAAACCUCCUCUUGGGUGAGGUUUGCACCCUCCUGUCAUACUUUAUACUGAGCUCUUUCCCAGACAACAUUUUUGAUUAAUGGCAUUAUUCCCCUCAUGGUGUGCUUAUGCAAGGCGAUACCCAAGCGUGGCUCUCCCUCUGUGCGGACAUAACAGCAUGACCAAAACGCAAGGUGAUGGCUUGCUGGACAGGCUAUUGUGGGAGAUCAGUAGAAGAGAAAAAGGAAGCACCUUUUCUGUGUUGUGUUUCUGUGCAACAGAAACUUAUCUAUAGAUAUGGCUACAACACUUCCGUUUUCAGAAUGGAAAACUGCACAUCAUUUCUUCAAGAAUUAAUAUAAGGCCUUGUCUCUUGUUCAAAUUUUAAUUAUGAUUAGUUCUGCUGGUAUGAUGGUGACAGUAAUUUCAGUGUGCCUUCCCCAAAACAAAACAUGGAUUGUUUAAUUUCAUUCUAAAAUCCAAAAAAAGUGGUCUAGAUAUAUGUUGAAAGACCUAUUGGCUUCCACCGGGCAUAACACAGAAACAGUUGGCCUCCUAUCUACUUCCCUCACCUUGCUUUUAAUUCUCCCUUUUCCCUUGCUUUUUAAUAUCAACUUUCACUCUUUAUUGCCCCAGACCUACAUGUUUCAUAGAUCAAGUAACUUCUAAUAAGAAAAAUUUAGUUGAUUUAUAAGGGAUGUAAUCACAUAGUAAGAAUCAUUAAGGUUGGAAAAGACCUCCCAGAUCACUGAGUGCAACCUUUGACAGAACACCACCAUGUCAACUAAACCACAGUAUGUCCACUUGUUUCUUGAACAUUUUCAGGGAUGGUGACUCCACCACCUCCCUGGACAGCCUCUUCCAGAAAAGAAAUUGUUCCUGAUGUCCAACCUGAACAUCCCCUGGUGCAGCCUGAGGCCAUUUCCUCUUGUUCUGUCAUGAGUGGCCUGGGAGAAGAGGACAAUUCCCACCUGGCUACAACCUCCUUUUGGGUAGUAGUAGAGAGUGAUAAGGUCUCUCCUGAGCCUCCUCUUCUCUAGGCUAAACAACACCAUCUCCCUCAGCCCUUUUUCAUAGGACUUUCUAGACCCUUCACCAACUCAGUUGCUCUUCUCUGGACUUUUUCCAGUACCUCAAUUUCUUUCCUGUAGUGAGGAGCCCAGAACUGGUCACAGCAUUCGAGGUGCAGCCUCACCAGCACCAAGUACAGAGGAUCAACCCCUUCCCUGGUCCUGCUGGCCACACUAUUUCUGAUACAAUUCAGGAUGCCAUUGGCCUUCUUGCCCACCUGGGCACACUGCUGGCUCAUGUUCAGCUGGCUGUUGACCAGCACCCCAGCUCCUUUUCUCCUGGGCAGCUUUCCAGGCACUCUGCUCCAAGCCUAUAGCAUGGUGUUGUUGUCACCCAAGCGUGGGACCCUUUAUGUUAUUAUUCUUGAUGAUUCAUUUAAUUUCCUAGUUACUGUGCCUGCAAGAUAGCCUUCACCCAAAUUACUGGAGAAAAUGCCCCUCUAACCUAAUGAGGGAUUUCACCUCCAGUUGAAAUGUUUCUUUUCCUUCUGCUCAGCCCCUCCCUGUAAUUUAGAGUGAUCUUGGAGCUUGCUUCUGCUGGAAAAACUCAACGUUUGGGCUUCUGAGCUUGCUGGCCAUGGCACGCAGGGCAGAGAAAAUGCUGGAAUGAAAAGAUGCUUUUAUAUCACUGUUUUUCUUGUGUAUCAUGAAAUCACUGCAGCACUAGGAGAGAAAAGGAAGGUUUUACAAUUGCGAGAGUGCAGUCUGGGGAAGAAAAACAAGUGUCCUUGAAAAUACCUCCUGGGUUUUGUUACACGUGCUUGUGGAUGCCAACAACAGGGAAAGGAACAGCACCAGGGAUACAGGAUAGAUUUCAAAAUAUAAAAAUGCAGAAAUGUUGUAGUACUGCGCUAGAGAAGAAAACAAAAAUGCCUGACUACACACCUAGCUACAGCAGAGAAGAAUGUAGACAAACCUCUAAAGUCUGGACAAUUCUCUGAGGAACAGGGGAACUGCCUUCCUGGAACAGGCUUGUGCUACUCUCCAGGCUGAAAUCUGGAUCCAGGGCUGACCUCCUCCAGAUGCUCCAGAAGAAAGCAAAAAGUCCCACAGACCUCUGAAAAACAAAAUCCUCAAGAAAGAUAUUAAAGGAAUAGUAUGCCAGUAAAAGAGAAUUCUUCAUAAUUGCCUUCAGUUAGUUACUGUCUUAUACUCAAAGCAAGAAAGCUUAGUUCAUUUCUAAGGUACUUUUAAUAGGCAAGGCACACAAGGAUGUAUGGAUAUUUUAAGUUAAGUGCUCGCUGCAUGAAAAUAAAGAGCAUAUAUUGCACUUGAAAACACUCAUAUGCAGAAACAAGUUACAUACCUUUAAAAACUGCUACAGAUCUGUGGGUUAGAUAGAGAAAGGUAAAAACUAGCAAGUCUGCACUGCUCUCGUAUUUUACUCUGAUUCCCAUUUCCAUCUUGCUGCAUUAUGUUCCAUUUGACAUCCUUUGCCACUUUUUAACCUGGAGACAUGUGCCUGCAGAGGCGGCUAUCUGUGUCAGACUUCCCCAGCAGUAGAACAAUUAUUGGUAGACUAAGAUUACGGCAUUAAAUGUGCUCAAAAUUCUUUCUCUGCACAACAGUUUAACACUCAACCUUGGAGUGCAAUGCUGAUCCCUCUGUGCUUGUCCAUUCCAGGACCCUGUAGCCAGCCUUCUGGGAUGCUGCAGGAGCCAGGUCCACACAUGCUUAAGCAACCAUCAGCAAAAUAAAAGUGGAAUAGAAAACUCUUUUUCUACAUACGUGUCUGCAAUACAGUUUGUCUACUUUGCUGGCAGGGAGUCCAAAUGAGACCUUUCCUUUUAGGAUAGCAAAAUUAAUCAUACCUGCUGUCUUAGGAGUAACAUUUAUGCAUCUCUGGGAAUGUGACCCUCAUUCUCUCUGCUAUAGACAUGACCCAGAUACUUUCCUGCCAUAUGCAGGAUACCUUAAUUUCUAUUUUUCUUUACAUCCCUCUCUCUUUCCCACCUCCUUCCUUCCUUCCUUUUUCUUUCUUCCUCUUACUUUUUCUCUUUCUCUUGGGGAUUGAGUAUAUGCAGCCUUACACAAACAAAAAGAGUUUACUCUUUUUUGUAGAAGAGUGGGGAAAGUUGUUGCAUGAGAGGAAAAUUCUACAGUUCAUUUUAAAGCUCUCCAUUCUACAAUUUUGAGUGGGGAUUGCUUCCAUGUUAGUGCCUCUAAAUGCCAUUGCACUGUCAAGGGAACGCAUUAUGCUUUGGGAACUGUAAAUAGGGCCACCUGAAAGAUCUGACUUGUAGGGAAUCAUAGGCGCUUACAGCCAGGUAAGCUACUACAAGCUGGAAACAGUAAACUGUUUGAUUGAUCUUGAGCUCUGUUCUGCUUAAGUCUGGGGUGAAGCAGGAGCACCCUUGGUUGGCUUUGUCACCACUGUAAGACCGUGGUAUCAAGUCUAAGAACUGCAGAAUAAAGACACUGCAGAGGGAGUACAAGUAGGGGCAGGGUCUGUCAGCCAGACGAGCAGAGGUCUUGGCCUGUCAGAAGCCUUACUGGAUUCUUCCAUGAGCAUAAGGGCAAAUGGGUUUUAAGAAAAGGUCUGAAAAAAUAUUAUUUUGUGGAUGUUUACAGCAAACUCUUCCCAAUGUCAAGAGUCACACAAAUGUGGUUGCUUACAAAUGUAAAAAUUCAACACAGAUGGAUUAGGGGGGAGUCAAGCUCCUGCUGCUGACUCUAAGACAAGAGCAGGCUGGGAAAUGAAGCGCCCUAGCUUAUGUUCGAUGAGGCAGAGAGGCAAAGAGAGAGAGAGCUGUAACUUGAUCAAAACAGUGAGGUUGGGAAAUGAUCUUCAGAGUGGCAUUCUCAAUCACCAUGAGCAGAGAAAACUCCAUUUGUCAGGAAGAGCAGAAAGACUGUGGCUUCCGUGGUCUACUGUGCUUUGUCCAGAUCAGGAAUGAACAAGCUUUUUAAUCUAUCAGGACCUUCCCUCUGCUCCAGCUGAUACGGACCUCUGGUUUUUGCCCAUCUCUAAUACAAAGGCUGCUUCUGAAUGAAAAAAGAGCUGCUUUAAGUCAGUCUUCAUUGGCAGAAGGAUCCUGUCCCUAGAUAGACCCUUGUCCACAGGAAAGUGGCAUCCAAUUUCUACUAUGCUGCUGUAAAACAUGGAGCCAGCCAUGACCAUGUUGAUCUACUUAGUUUUACUAGAUGAAAAUUGUAAUUUAAUAAUAGCACUGAUGUAGUGCAGAGCAAGACUUUCAGCUGUUAGCAACUAUAAGAGCUCUGCCAGCUUUGAGGGAAAUAAUCUGUUCAUGCCAGCCUAGAACCUGGCCUUCUAAAGAAAUCAAGGAACACUGAAAUUACCAAAGUCCCUCUUGAAAAACAUUGUAUUAACAUAAUUACCUUUUCUUGCAAGAACAGCUUGAACCUCUGCUCCAAGCUUAAUCAACUUCUAACUGCAAAUAUAUUUGAUUUUUUUCUUUGCAAUCAGUUGUAUAAAGAAAUAUAAUUGCCUUUUCACUCUUAUUCCCAUUGCUUGGGUUAUACUAGUCAAAGUUCAGAGCAGCUGAUGAGUUCAAGUUCUUUCACGCACUGAUUGCAAAGCUAAUCAGCUAGGUGAAAUGGGACUGAAAUACUGUUAUUUGCUCUGAUUUCUAGGAACAUAAAUAGCGACCAGAGCAUUUGUUCUUGAGCUGAACUAUUCUCUGGAUGCCUGCUUACAUUCACCCAAGAGCCAGCGGGCAGCUGGCUGCAAGACAUCAUGGUCUUGCUGCUAAAAAUUGGAAACAAAGCAGGCAGGACAAGAACAAUGCAGCCCUACAGGAUUUCUCCUAAAUUAGAGCUUUCACCAUGGGAGACUGAGCAGCUCAGGGGAAUUGGUAAUGGGAAACUGGAGCUGGGCACCUUGAGGCUGCCAAUCUGUACCUGAUCCAGGCUAGUAUUGGCUGGAAGCCUUCAGCAUCCAACAGCUCUUUAGCUCUUUUCUUGUCUUUGUGAAACUGUUAGCAGCCUCAGGCCAAUUCCUGGUGGAAAUAUAUCCACAGCACAAGGCUACCUUCACAGCUGGCAUAAGGCUGCAGCCUCGCUCACAUUUGUAGCAGGGAGGUGAAUUGAGGACAAGGUGGAGAUAAAGCUCCUUCCUACACUUUGAGGGGUCCUCUAUGGUCAAGGAGGAGGUGUGUAAGCAAAGCAUCAUGGGCAAGACAUUAUUGCUGCUUAAUGUACACUCAGAAGACCCUGGGUUAGAGGGGUGCAUGGGCAAGUGUGGCAAAGGAUUGGUCAGGAAUCACUAGAUAGGUCAGGAAAGGAGUAAAAGUGGGAAAAGUUGUCUGAACAAGGAAGCCAUCUGUGUACAGUGCAUGUCAACGGCAGUCAUCCUCUGUCCCUAUACAGUAUUUCUCCUGUGGGGACUGAAUGUGUGUUUCUGAUACACAACAGCCUAAUUUCUGUGAAAUUAGUGGGAAGGCGUGGGAUGUGCACUUUGUGUACCUUUAAAAAACCCCAGCAUUCACCUGAAAAGUGCACACCCAGCUGCUUGUGCCUGUGGUUCCUCAGGGUGAAAAAUUGCUCAGCCCUCAUAAUGCACAUUGCUCUUUCCAACUCUCCAAAUAAAUGGAAGAACAAAAAAACCCCAUAACAAUGUCAGAAUUAACAGCAGCUCCAAGGUCAUCACAACAUGGACUCUUUUCUUGGUCUAAAAGUGCCAAAAAAGCUGAACUGCAACAGGGAGAAUGCAUACAGCCUAAGGAGGAGAAAUAAGUCAUUGCAGCAGAGCCAAAUCUCCCAAACCAAACUGAUAUGUUCAAUUAAACCCUCACUUGCUACCUGGGGACAAGCUUUACCUAAACCUUGGGGCUGGCUAUCCACACACAGGCAGGUAAUCAGGUAAUGUAAGCAACUUGAUACCUACCUGAAAAAAAUAAAUAUGGGCUGGGUGUGCAGUACCUAAACUAAUUACUCCAAAAUGAUUGCCUGGAUUUGGGCCAAGCAUUAUCUCACUUGUCCUCAGCACUACUGCACUGGCAUGAGGGGAACAGAAAAUGUGGUAACUUGAGAGGGAGAUAAAAACAAGAGAGAGGGAGAAUUGAGAAUGGUCUUUAGCUGUGAAGGAGCUGUUCUGUCUCUGCACCACUCUUUGGUCCAACCUCAAUACAGUGAAGGAGCCUUUGUAUCUUGUCUCCUCCUUUUAAAAUGGAUUGUCAGCCAGAAGCAUUAUCCACAUAUACAUAGUCUAAACACUGUGAAUCAACCUGUUUUUUUCCCCUUGGUCUCCACAGAGCUAGACUCAUCCUACUGUCAAGAUUUGGGAGUAAUUUUUUUAAAGAAAACCACAAAUCCCUGGUCAUAGAAACCUGUCAUCGUAGUUUUCUAAGUAGGUCAUUGGUUAUAUAGUGAAUAUAAUUUUGAUUUACACUGAGUAAAACAGCGAAGUUCUAAUCCAGUCUAAUCCAGGAUUAUUUGCCUUAUUGAAGAGAAUUCCCUUUCCUUUGGUAGGUUUAAUGCAAAGCUGCAAAGAAUGUUUGUUUUAUUGCCAGUGGAGAAAAUUAGUAAUAUAGUUCCUGACAUAGUAAACUAUUAUACCGGACUUGCCUAGGAAUUUAGUACAAAUAAAUAAGGUGAAAGUCAGAAUUAGAAAACAGAGAGAAACACAGCAUCUCAACGUGUUUUAUCUUUCAUAUACUGUUAUCAGGAGAAAAUAAUACUUUUCAGGUAGGAGCUGGCGAAUCCUGCACUGUGUUCUAAAUGUGCCUGGAAAGUGUGGGCUUGGGAACUACCAGAGGUGUAUUUAUGGGGAAGGAAGGCAUCUGCAACUUAGCUUCCUGAGGGCUGUGCUUCAGGUUGAUGCAGAACUUACUGUGUGAAAUCCAUGACAGACAUCAAGUAGGAGGUGAAACAAUAUUGAAAUCCUAUGGCUCUUCCUUCCAUUUGCUGUUCUGUUUACCGUGACAUUUACAUCAUAUAAGGAACAUAUAAUAAUUGAGUGUUUUAGUAAUAAAUAAAACAUCAGAAAAGAAUAGGCAAGAAUGUGAAAUCAAUAAGCUUAGUUUUACAAGAAAACACAAGUCAGACUCUCAUUAGUGAAUCUAAUAAUCCAUCCCUAAUUCACUUAGGCAAUGCUUAGAAAGUCAGUAAAUGAUCAUUUUCAGCUCUUGCUCCAUAGGGAUAUACUGAUUUAACUCAAUGGAGAUUUGCUGAAACUUGCUGAAGAGUACAGACCUGAGGCACAGUGCUUCAUGCUGCAUCAGAACCUGCAAGCCACAUGUAUCCAAAGAAUAGAUAAACCAUGAUCAUUUAUGUGUGGUUCUCUGGCCUUCUGCAUUGUGUUGGGUGUGAGCUAGGCACACCAGUGUUUGCCUUGGUUCCCUGUCCAGGAAAAUUGGGGAGGUUCAGCUUUGACCAGAAAAAUACCAAAGAGCUAAGGGUUAGAGGACAGGGCAGUUUGGCACUACCUAGAAGCUAUAGCUGACAUUAGUGCUAAUAGAGAAGAUCGUGUUGUUACUUGAUCAAUUUCAUUGUUUCCCCUAUUUUUCCUUUUCGGUUUCCUUUUCCUUUCCUUUUUCCUUCCUUCUUUUUCUCUCUUUUUCCCUCUUUCUUUUUCUUUUUUUUCCUGUUUCUUUUCAUUUUCUUGUUCUUAAUCUUAUUCCUCUCCUCUCUUCUCCUUUCCUUUUUUUUUUCUCUCUGUCAUCUUUGGUGGUCAUCUGUAUUUAUAGACAAAGGGCCCCAAUGUGCCGUACAUGCUUGCUUCUUUCAAGGGAACCUGCAACCAAAAUUGCCUGUGACCUUUCCCAUGAGCAUGGGUAGAAAACUCUUCUUGUGUGAGAUAAAGAAAUUAGAACUUCAUUCUUCCAUGGUUUACUCCCAGGAAUGCAUUUUGGCAAGAUGCUAAGAAUAAACCAGGUAUUGAAAGGGGGAUCUGGGAAGCUGACAAGCAUGGCUAAGCCUGGCAGGGAAAUUUGACGAGGAAAUAAGAUGCUUUGUAUAUCAGUGUGUAGUGAUUAGUCUUUUGAAUGCUGGGAUUAUUAUAUAAGCAAAAAAGGAGGGGGGUACUUAUUGUAUGUGACAGCUAGCACUUAUACAGGUAUUCUUCAAACUAAUGAGGAACAUAAUGGUGUAUUUGUUUAUAAAUCUUGAGCAAGACUCCUGCAUUUUCCACAAGCCAAAUAAGCGUGAUGGAAAAGUAAAGACAACUUUUCUUUUUCUGCUCUUCCAAAUUAGAAUCACUACAGAAAGAACAGGUAAAAAAAAUCCAAUGAAUAUCCUGCCCCACCACUGACAUGCUACCUUCAGUCUUGGAGCCUAUCUUCAAACAAAAAGUGUAUUAUAUAUUUAAAACACAGACACCGUGUUUUUUACACUGUACACACAUGCCGGCAAUAACCAAGAAUCCAGAAAUCAGUGCACACAGAUAUUACUUGUCAUGAUGCUAUAUAAAAACCAACAGGUUAGGAAAAGUAAGUAAUAGAAAAAUCAAUUAAACAAACCUCUGAAGCCAUAAAAAAGAAAUUCGAAAUUCUAAAAUGUCCUAUAAAAAUAGGAAAUGAAGACUUAAGUUACAUUUCGCUCAUUUGUCUCCUUUUUCAUUAACAAUAAAUUCUUGUUUAGAAAACUAUGGUCUCCAUAUUAUCAAAAAAUUGAGCAGUACACAUAGAUAUUAUUUCCCCCUCUUAUAGCUUCCUUUCCCAACAUCAUAUACACAUACAAACAAAAGUAACUUGUUAAACUUACCUAAAAUUUUGCACAUAGAUUCUACUAAUAAGCAUUAUGAUUCUGUGUGUGCACGUGUAAAACCAGAGGAAAAAGUGAGGCAACAGAUUCAACUUCUGAUAAAACCUUGGAAUAUCUUACAGAAGUUUGUCUUCACACAUGACACAUAUCACAUGAUAUUAUUCACAAAGAAUAUGCUUGGGGAAACAGACAGAGUCAUUUACAAACUUCUCUGAACAUCCUGUAGGUUUGAUUCAAAAUAACCUAUUUGCAGCAUCAUUUGAUUAUCCUGGACAUUAUUAGGCAUUUUUCUUUAGUUUUCUGCAGUGUAGCUAGAAAACUAGC